AAGGUAGCCGUACGAGAACGUGCGGCUGGAUCACCUCCUUUUUAAGGAGUAAACAUGCGUUUUAAGUUUACUUAAAGCGAGAUGUUAAUGGUCGAUUCUUGGAUUGUAAUGUUUGAAUCGAGUUCUGCGGGGCGUUUAUUUACGUGUUAUUAAGCUAUUUUAUGCGUCGGAGAGGCUAUAUCUUAAAGGGCGUGAGUUGUAUAAACGGGCCUAUAGCUCAGCUAGUCAGAGCGCACUCCUGAUAAGGGUGAGGUCUGUGGUGCAACUCCACAUAGGCCCACCAACUGAUGCGUAGUGUCG
Molecule: transfer RNA, 300 nt
Filed under: uncultured Candidatus Endomicrobium sp.
Lineage: Bacteria; Pseudomonadati; Elusimicrobiota; Endomicrobiia; Endomicrobiales; Endomicrobiaceae
Description: partial contains 16S ribosomal RNA and 16S-23S ribosomal RNA intergenic spacer
Source: RNAcentral